UACGUAGGGAGCAAGCGUUGUCCGGAAUCAUUGGGCGUAAAGCGCGCGUAGGUGGCCUCGUAAGUCCGCUGUGAAAGUCAAAGGCUCAACCUUUGAAAGCCGGUGGAUACUGCAGGGCUAGAGUACGGAAGAGGCGAGUGGAAUUCCUGGUGUAGCGGUGAAAUGCGCAGAUAUCAGGAAGAACACCCGUGGCGAAGGCGGCUCUCUGGGACGGUACUGACGCUGAGACGCGAAAGCGUGGGGAGCGAACAGG
RNAcentral lists this ribosomal RNA (253 nucleotides) under uncultured bacterium. Its description in RNAcentral is "partial 16S ribosomal RNA". It matches the Rfam family "Bacterial small subunit ribosomal RNA", at positions 524 to 776 of the family's 1533-position model. The record is from RNAcentral.